RNAcentral lists this ribosomal RNA (301 nucleotides) under uncultured bacterium. RNAcentral's name for it is "partial 16S ribosomal RNA". It matches the Rfam family "Bacterial small subunit ribosomal RNA", at positions 509 to 807 of the family's 1533-position model. The record is from RNAcentral.
CAGCAGCCGCGGGAAUACGUAGGGUGCAAGCGUUAAUCGGAAUUACUGGGCGUAAAGCGUGCGCAGGCGGUUAUAUAAGACAGAUGUGAAAUCCCCGGGCUCAACCUGGGAACUGCAUUUGUGACUGUAUAGCUAGAGUACGGCAGAGGGGGAUGGAAUUCCGCGUGUAGCAGUGAAAUGCGUAGAUAUGCGGAGGAACACCGAUGGCGAAGGCAAUCCCCUGGGCCUGUACUGACGCUCAUGCACGAAAGCGUGGGGAGCAAACAGGAUUAGAGACCCCAGUAGUCCCUGUCUCUUAUAC